RNAcentral lists this ribosomal RNA (445 nucleotides) under uncultured bacterium. Its description in RNAcentral is "partial 16S ribosomal RNA". It matches the Rfam family "Bacterial small subunit ribosomal RNA", at positions 354 to 796 of the family's 1533-position model. The record is from RNAcentral.
GUAAGGAAUAUUGGACAAUGGACGCAAGUCUGAUCCAGCCAUGCCGCGUGAAGGAUUAAGGUCCUCUGGAUUGUAAACUUCUUUUAUAAGGGACGAAAAAAGGCUUUUCUAAGUCGUCUGACGGUACCUUAUGAAUAAGCACCGGCUAACUCCGUGCCAGCAGCCGCGGUAAUACGGAGGGUGCAAGCGUUAUCCGGAUUCACUGGGUUUAAAGGGUGCGUAGGCGGGCAGGUAAGUCAGUGGUGAAAUCCUAGAGCUUAACUCUAGAACUGCCAUUGAUACUAUCUGUCUUGAAUAUUGUGGAGGUAAGCGGAAUAUGUCAUGUAGCGGUGAAAUGCUUAGAUAUGGCAUAGAACACCUAUUGCGAAGGCAGCUUACUACGCAUAUAUUGACGCUGAGGCACGAAAGCGUGGGGAUCAAACAGGAUUAGAAACCCUGGUAGUCC